This 215-nucleotide non-coding RNA is filed under the name Turicibacter sp. RNAcentral's name for it is "T-box sequence". It matches the Rfam family "T-box leader". From Rfam's summary of the family: Uncharged tRNA acts as the effector for transcription antitermination of genes in the T-box leader family. The record is from RNAcentral. Lineage: Bacteria; Bacillati; Bacillota; Erysipelotrichia; Erysipelotrichales; Turicibacteraceae.
AUAUUCGCGUUGAAGAAGAAUAGUAGAGAUUACCCUUUUUUGUAGAGAGAGAAUGGUUGGUGAAAAUUCUCAAAAAGGAAUCUUGAACCAGCCUUGGAGCUCUGUACCGAAAGAUUGAGUAAGCUAUUGAUCUCGUUAUCGAUUUUAAAGAUAUGAUGAUAGAGCCAUGGACUAUGAUCAUAAUUAGGGUGGUACCGCCGUUUUUGGCCCCUUAC